Molecule: non-coding RNA, 4848 nt
Organism: Phalacrocorax carbo (great cormorant)
Lineage: Eukaryota; Metazoa; Chordata; Aves; Suliformes; Phalacrocoracidae
Source: RefSeq, a predicted model, not a curated record
AGCGCGGGGGAGCGGCGGGCCGGGGCCGCCGCCCCCCACCUCACCCCACCCCCCGCCCGGACCGGGCCCUCAUGAAAGAAAACCCCAAAGGAACAGCGUUUCCAGUUGAAGGGAGGCGGCGCCUACAGCCGGCGCGGCGACUGCGGCCGGCCGGGGCCGGGGCCCGGGCCCGGGCCUGACCGGGGUCCCGACCGGGGGUCCCGCCCUGCCCCCGCCGCAGGGCUUUCACUUUCAUUUGCGGCGGGGGUCUGGAAGCGGGAGGAGGGCGGGCACAGCAGAGGGAAGCGAGAGGUCUGCGGGAUCGCUUGUGCUCCCUCUGGCUGGCGGUGGCGGGGCGGGGGGAGGACUUGCUCUCUUCAUCGCCAGUUAAUCUCCGAUAGCCAAAAAAAGAAGAAAGAAAGAAAGAAAAAAAAUUAUUUCCUUCCUGAACCUAGGUUCUGAGGUUUCGGGCUUCUGCUAACAGUAUUUCCCGAGCGGUGCGUGUGCGCGUUUUCCUCCCGAGCCGGAGGUAGUAGAUACAAUUCUCCCGGUGAACCCGUAAGAGCUGGCCGGCCUGUGGGAUGAUUCGCAGGGAAGCGUCCGAGCGCGCAGCUGCCCCGGGGCUUCCCCGCGGGCGGAACGGCCAGGACCGGCCCGCGGAUUGACGGCCGAGCGCGGCAGCCCCCGCCGCGGCCCCGGGCUGGCUGCCGGCCCCUGGGGCGGGGAAGUGAGACCGGCGGCUGCCGCGCGCCCCGCUGAGCGGGGGCGCGUGCGAAGCGCUGCUGCAGCGGAACGCGGCUCGGCGCGUAGCUAUGCGGAAUUUCUUCCAACAGUAGCUCUAGCCCCCUAAAAAGGUAGUCGCGUUUGUCAUCAUCCAUACUGCAACUUCGCGCUAACACAAUAAACACUGAUUUGUGAGAUCCUUUCCCACUCGUCAGGCAAACGCACGUUGCGGUGGCCCGGGGAGCAGCGGAGCGUUACCGGCGCAUCGGAAACCGGAGCUGUAAAACCAGCCCUCCGUAGGAACACAGGCACUGGGAGGAGAAAGGCUGUCUUCUGGAAAUAAUGAAGGCCUAAGAUGAUAACAUGGAAAGACCACACUCGCCAAGCAAGCUCUGCGGCAGAUACAUCCAGGUGCACCUUAGCUGCAUCAUCUGUCUCCACGGCCAGGCAUUGUGACAGGUUCUGCUCGACGUUUUCUGCAGGUUUGGUGUUAUAUACAGAGAGCCAUGAGAGCCCAUCCUUUUGAAAGGACAGAUUGCAAAGAGAGAGGGUUUUUUUCCCCAUUCUGCAUCAGGAACAGAAAUAACCUUUUGAACAGACACACACAUAUCACAGCCAGCUGCCUCAUGCUUGUGGCAUCCUCAUGGGAUUUGGGAGACCUGCCUUCAAACCAGACCCUGCCUGAAUCAGUCUCGGGAGCGCUCAGGUUGCUGUCUGGCGGCUAGGCUGGGGACUCUUCUGGUGUGGAGGACCGGCCUCCCCCUGGCUGGAGCUGCUCCACUGACUGUAACUGAAUGAAUGCUCAUCAAGAUAAAAAGAAAGGCAGCUUAUCACUGUCUAGUUAGGGCCCUCACAUGGGUUCAACUCCCUUCUCUAAAUCGAGCAAAGCAAAGAUUCUUGGGCUGGGCAAAACCCAGCUGCUUGCUCAGACCAAGAAGUUAUUUAUUCCCUGCCCCAGACUGGAGUUACACCUGCUGCUGGAGCUGAGAAAAUGUUUCCAAUAGCAAUUUUGUCAAAACUGGUAUAUUACCAGGAAAAGCUUUGGCUCCAGUUAAAAAAAUUCCUGACCAUCUGUGAUUAGAAUUUCUGACAGAAUUCCCAAUACAGUUUGACUUACCUGUUUUGCUUUAUUAUAUAAAAUUGUUUUUCAGUGUGAACCUUGUUCAGGUAAAAAUACCGAGUUUAUUUGAUUUUAUUUUUGUUUCAUCAGCCCAAAUAACAUCUACAUACACGUUUUUAUGGUCUGCAACUUUUAAGAAAAGAAACUUGCACAGAAAGUGGUGUGCAGAUUCUUAGCAUAAAUUUUUUCUUUGCUGCAAGUAGAAGUCUUUGUAGCAGGGAUAGGAAUUCUAUUAUGAAUUCUGAUAAUAUAUAUAAACUGUGUCUCAGAAGCAUUUAUUGAGCACAGAGCAUAUUACUCCAUGUCUUAACCAUGGAAGUAGUUACCUAAAGCGUGCCUGACUUCACUUUAGGCCUUUGAAUCCUUUAGUAUGUCAGUCAACAACUGGUAAGAUUGGCAAGCACACUUCUUUUGUUUAAAUAAAUAUUUAUAUUGAACUUCAGUUUAACAUUGCUAGACAUAUUUGGAGGUAUUUGAGGUUGAUUCCAGGAAUCUUGCUUUUAACUGAAAUAAAUGCAGAAGGGAAAGAAGUUUUUGGUGAGCAGUGCAUUUCUGUAAGAUGAGAUUCUUGCUACCUGUACAUUUGGAUGGACAUGCUUGAAAGUAUGGGGUUUUCUUCCAGGAAAUAUUUUCACCUGGUCAAUGAAGACCUGAGGAUAAUAACCUAUCAUAUUUAGAAAUAUCCCAGUAGUGUUUGGAGAAUGAAUAACAACUUUUUUUAAAAAAAUUAAAUAUAAAAUUAUAAAUACAUAAACACAUUUGCUAAAAUACUUCAGUUGACCAUAUAGUUGCAAAAAAACCCCCAAACAUUAUAACCUUGCAUGUAUAUGUGCUCUAGGUUCUGUGCUUUAUCUGUGUUUAUAGGGAGAAAAGCUCUUGAUGUGCACAAGGACUUCAUUUUUAGUCCCCUGAACUAAAAGAUUCCAGGGGUACUUGGUACUAUUGAGAUCCAGUAUCUUUCACUGGCAUUUCCUUGUAAAUAGCCUGAAUUCAGAUUGCUUACAAAUCUCAUCUCCCCUUGCAGGAAGAGAUCUAAAAACAUCUCUAGAAAUUACUCUGGGCCAUGUGUUCAGCCUAAUACCAACCACUUGCAGUCAGAAGUAGAAGCUAUUGUGCCUGGCACAUUGUAUUUCAGAGACAGAAUGCAUAUCAAAGUGUACUUCCAACUGGAAAGUGCACCCCUUUUGAGUUGAGCUGUCUUGAUGGCCCUCUAUAACAAAAUUCACAGCGAUGCAAUUUGGCUUCAAGUAUGGCUUUGAGGAUACUUUUGCCCAGCAAUGCGGAUAUUGCCAAGAAUGUCUUCAUUUAAAUACAAAGAGCCUGAGCAAAGGCAGGGUGGUAGGCCAUCCUUUUCCAGGAUGUCCCCUGCAAGCAGCUGUGUGUGUUAUGCUGAUGCAGGACUUACCCUCACCCAAGCCUCCUUGUUUCUGCAAGACCCUGCGAACCUGGCCAACUUGAUUUUAGUAUAAAAUUUGGAAAUAAAACUAGAAAACUUCGUGUAAGCUUGGCAUCCUGCAGCAUGUCCUGGCCAGUUUCCUCCCUGGUGGAACAAAGAUGAGGCAGGGCAGAGAGAUUAAGAGUAUAUGAAUGUGGUGAGAGUAAUGCUCAGAGCUUGCUCAAAACAUGGGAAGGGUGGACAGUGGGAGGGGUAAGAUUUAAUAUCUCUCUAGUAAAUCUGAGGUGAGGAAUAUUAGACUACUCAAGGUGAUUAGGGAAUCCCUAGAGCAGAAUGGAUGUUGGCCUCAGGUUUUGCAGGCAAAUAUGGUGGAACCAAUCCUAUCCUCAUUAAGAUUAAAGUAGAAAGGAAAGAAAAAAAACAAUACAGUUCCAUACAAGAACAGGAAUAGUAGUAAGCAGAAAAGGUAACUCAGAUGCGGGAGUUGUUUUAUUUCAGAGUAUUUUUUCCUGCUUUAUCUAUUUCCAGCUUUCUGAGUCAAGGGAUAGAUACCAGAAAGAAGAUUACUCAGUAGGCAAAAUGGAUUGUUUGAAGGGAGCAUUUCCCAGCUAUAUGAAUUAUAGUUGUUCUGUGUAUUCUUGUUUUGUUAUUUGCCUAUUUCCAGAGAAAGUUGUUCAUAAGAUCUGAACAGUCAGCAAGACUUGCGGAGAACAAAGCUAAAACAAAUUGUACAAUGUGUGGAAAAGGUGUAUGGAAAAUCUGUAUGGAAAAAAUUGGUAACUGGUAUUCCUCAAAGAUUAGCGUACACAGAAACAUAUAAAAGCUAUGCAGAAAAUCUUAGCAAAUACAUAAGAAUUCAGUUAUUUUUAUUUUAGAAUGAAAAAUCUGGAAUUAACUCACGAGAAUACUUGGCUGUUAGAUUGCAGAGCACUGCAGCGUUUUGCAGCCUGGCACUCAGCUCUAGGAAUGACACUCCCAGCACAGAAUUAGGCACCUCAGUAUCAGGUGCCCGAGUGACUUGUUUGGUUUCUGAAUUGAAGAAUUACAGGAGUUAUACUGAUGAGCAUCACAGACAGCUCAUUUAGCAUCUGCUGAAUUAUGUGGUGAUUCCCCUUUUCUUGGUAUGCUUUAUAUACAAGCAUGAACACAGACUAAUGUCAGAGAUUGUAAAAUUGGAUUAUGAAAUGAGCACAGGUUUAUUUUGAAUGGAAAGAAUUGGACUUUCCUUUCUAUAUUCCUGGACUGUAUAGCUGGAAAAGAUUUAUUAAAGACUCUAGAGCAUACGGUGCAUACUGCUUUGGACAUGGAUUACAACUUUGUCUAAUUUAGAUGGUUUUCUGGCAUUCUUUCUACCAGAGUGUCUUGCAACAGUUUAUAAAUGAAACUAUCUUUAAUAAAAACUGUUAAGCCAAAGGUUUGAAGAAUUGAAAAAAAAAAAUUACAAUGCUCACCUCUCCCCUUGUAACUUUUGGGUAUCCCUCCAAAAUGCAACAACUUACUGUGAAUGCAGUAGGGUGCUUUGUGAAUGUGGUUAGUAAAUACAUUUCUUUCCCCUUAUCUCACAAGUAACUUCAUUGUUCAUUUUCUUAUAUGAUUCUGUAAAAAUAGAUAAUAACUUUUUGAGAAUUGA